CCUAUGUUUUUCCAUUUAUUAGUUACUCCCUACUUUGUUAAAGAAAAAGUAGGGAGUAACUAAUAAAUGGAAUAACAUAGA
Podarcis lilfordi (Lilford's wall lizard) is the source of this 81-nucleotide non-coding RNA. Lineage: Eukaryota; Metazoa; Chordata; Lepidosauria; Squamata; Lacertidae. The record is from the annotation of a GenBank genome assembly.